This is a long non-coding RNA of Microtus ochrogaster (prairie vole), 533 nucleotides long. RefSeq lists it as uncharacterized. The record is from RefSeq and is a predicted model, not a curated record. The transcript is spliced from 3 exons. NCBI's taxonomy places the organism in Eukaryota, Metazoa, Chordata, Mammalia, Rodentia, Cricetidae.
GCCGGGAACCGGUUGAGGAGGGGGGGGCGGAAAACCGCGGGAAAAACCGGUCCGAGCCGGCGCCGCGUUGUUGUUUGUUCGCCGCGGAAAUUUAUUUUUGUGAUUUUUUUUUUUUUAAAUUUGAUUUUUUAUUUUUUUUCCAUCUGUGAUCCGGUUUUUUCCCGAUUUUUUUUUUUUUUCUGCCGGUUCCCGGAUGGACGCAGCGCGCGCAGCCGCAGGAUUCGAACCUGGUUCCGCGCCGAGGACCCGCGACGCCCGGGUCGUGUGUGGGACGAAGGUGACGGCCGGGCGACAUCAUCCGUGUUGUCGGGCGACGUCAUCCCGUGGUAUCGGUGACAUCCCGUUCAUCGGGCGACAUCAUCAUGUUAGCCGGUGACAUCAUUACGUGUUAUCGGGCGACAUCGUCACAUGGUGACAUCAUCGCAUUAUCGGUGACAUCAUCACGUGUCGUCGGGCGACAUCGUCGCGUUAUCAGGUGACGUCGUUCCCAACCGUCGUGUGACAUCAUCAUGUCAGUCAUGACAUCGACUUGU